RNAcentral lists this ribosomal RNA (500 nucleotides) under uncultured bacterium. Its description in RNAcentral is "partial 16S ribosomal RNA". It matches the Rfam family "Bacterial small subunit ribosomal RNA", at positions 30 to 523 of the family's 1533-position model. The record is from RNAcentral.
AUUGAACGCUGGCGGCAUGCCUUACACAUGCAGGUCGAACGGUAACGGGUCCUUCGGGAUGCCGACGAGUGGCGAACGGGUGAGUAAUAUAUCGGAACGUGCCCAGUAGUGGGGGAUAACUGCUCGAAAGAGCAGCUAAUACCGCAUACGACCUGAGGGUGAAAGGGGGGGAUCGCAAGACCUCUCGCUAUUGGAGCGGCCGAUAUCAGAUUAGCUAGUUGGUGGGGUAAAGGCCUACCAAGGCAACGAUCUGUAGUUGGUCUGAGAGGACGACCAGCCACACUGGGACUGAGACACGGCCCAGACUCCUACGGGAGGCAGCAGUGGGGAAUUUUGGGCAAUGGGCGCAAGCCUGAUCCAGCAAUGCCGCGUGCAGGAAGAAGGCCUUCGGGUUGUAAACUGCUUUUGUCAGGGAAGAAAUCUUCUGGGCUAAUACCCCGGGAGGAUGACGAUACCUGAAGAAUAAGCACCGGCUAACUACGUGCCAGCCGCCGCCGUAA